Scophthalmus maximus (turbot) is the source of this 1504-nucleotide RNA transcript. RefSeq lists it as uncharacterized. NCBI's taxonomy places the organism in Eukaryota, Metazoa, Chordata, Actinopteri, Pleuronectiformes, Scophthalmidae. The record is from RefSeq and is a predicted model, not a curated record. The transcript is spliced from 6 exons.
UGGUUAGCGCCCUGCGCUGGCGCCGUCUGUUCAAACGCGAUGUGAUUGGCUGCCUCCCCGCGCAGCCGUUUGAAAAGUUGAGGCGCGCAUUUAGCGCGAGCGCCGCCUUGUUGUUGUUGUUAGCACCGGUUAGCACCUGGAGCUAGCUAGCUAGCUAGCUAGCUAGCGAGCGAGCUGAGUCACUCUGACAAGACUCGAAGCUUUUCCCAAAGAAAGAGAGUGAAGACGACAGGUGAAGGUGAAACGAGAGGAGAUGGAGUUUUAUCUCCCGUGUGGUUGAAGCAGCAGAGGAGUCAGGACGUGAGCACAAACUCGGGUCGCUGUUCCAGGUUGCCGGUGCCUGUCCACACCACUGUGAUGACGGAGAGAGAAAACAGCCCUGAUGUACGAUUCCUGGUCUGUCACGACAGCUUUGUAUCAGUGUAACUUGGAAAGUGGCCUGGAGUUUGUUGAUGGCACCAUGAGCGGAAUUAGACGGCUGCCGCUGCCAAAUGAGGAUGCUGCGACAGAGGCCGGGAAAAUACCUUUAAUCCCAGACAAACAAGCAUCUUUGGCUGAUGUUUGAAGGAAAAUCUCGCAUUGUGCUGGAGCGGCCACUGACUGCCUCCCAUCAAGGACAGAGUCACCUUCCUCCGGAGGAGAAUCCAGUCCUCUGGGAGUCACUGUGGCUUGUGAGUCUACCGCCAGAACUAGGUCCUCUUCAAACUGUCAAUAACGUCUUGUGAGAAAAGGAUCCUCGGUGAUGGCUGAUGGAUACGCUCACACCUCCGAGAGAAGUGUGCCUGAAGCUCUCAGACACUGUGUCAGUAUUGAAAUGUUUCUGGGCUGUCACAUCUCACCACCUCCUUAGCCCUAAUGUGAUCGAUUGGGACCGACGCAGAGCCAUAACGUGCUCCUCUACAGAGCACUUUCAUAGUAACAUUUCAGGCCCAGUUGAACCUUACCUCCCCUGGGCCAUUAAAUGAAAGACUGGACCUCAAGUGGAUCUCUGAGUCUGGUCCAUCCCUGAGCUUACAGGCAAGUUAAUGACAGAAAUUGUACAUGUCAGUACUACCAGAGAGCCCAAGGAUUAAAUAAUGUGCAUGUAAUAGUGAGAUCUGAGGUCCUGGCCUGGAUGUGCUAAGAACAUUUGCAGUACCACUUUAAUGACCAAAAGGAAAGAGCCGAGUCUGAGACUCCUGCCUGGGAGGACAUGUCAGGCCUUUCAUGGGAACCAUUUUUAAUUGCAACCAAAAAAUGUCUAUUAGUGAAGUCUCCCUUAGGCAGAUACUGUAUCCAUUAUAGAGGUCAAACUUUUAGGUUGGAAAAUAUCAUUAGAUAGAUUUUAUCAAUAUAUCAUUAUUGUUAUUAUUAUCAUUUAACUACUUAUGUACUCGUACUAUACUAUUGUUCAGCAUUUUUCAGCCCAAAUAUUUGUGUAGUUGUUGCACUGCAGUCGUUUAUCUGACUAACCUCCUGAAAGCUUCUUCGAACUUAUUGCAGAAUAUAGAAUGAACUGUUUAUA